UGGGGAAUUUUGGACAAUGGGGGCAACCCUGAUCCAGCAAUGCCGCGUGUGUGAAGAAGGCCUUCGGGUUGUAAAGCACUUUUGUCCGGGAAGAAAUCGCACCUGAUAAUACCGGGUGUGGAUGACGGUACCGGAAGAAUAAGGACCGGCUAACUACGUGCCAGCAGCCGCGGUAAUACGUAGGGUCCAAGCGUUAAUCGGAAUUACUGGGCGUAAAGCGUGCGCAGGCGGUUGUGCAAGACCGAUGUGAAAUCCCCGGGCUUAACCUGGGAAUUGCAUUGGUGACUGCACGGCUAGAGUGUGUCAGAGGAGGGUAGAAUUCCACGUGUAGCAGUGAAAUGCGUAGAGAUGUGGAGGAAUACCGAUGGCGAAGGCAGCCCCCUGGGAUAACACUGACGCUCAUGCACGAAAGCGUGGGGAGCAAACAGG
RNAcentral lists this ribosomal RNA (429 nucleotides) under bacterium. RNAcentral's name for it is "partial 16S ribosomal RNA". It matches the Rfam family "Bacterial small subunit ribosomal RNA", at positions 355 to 776 of the family's 1533-position model. The record is from RNAcentral. RNAcentral also lists the same sequence under 1 other name.